Molecule: long non-coding RNA, 259 nt
Filed under: Gallus gallus (chicken)
Lineage: Eukaryota; Metazoa; Chordata; Aves; Galliformes; Phasianidae
Description: lncRNA (ENSGALG00010018921.1)
Source: RNAcentral
AGUGGAAAAACACCCACAGCUCUGUGCUGCUGCUGGAAUAGCUUACUUUGAUGUGCAGAGGGCCCAGACAUUGUGCUCGUGGGAAAAUAAAACGCUUCCUUUUGGUGGGCAGAAGUGCUGAUACAGAAGAGUUUUUCAAGCCCAGACUCCACUCCUUUUAUUUCUCCUCCUCAUGUAUCGGUCCCAUUUUCCUUCUCUGAUUUUUCCUCGAACUCUCAUUUUCCAUUCAAAUUGCUUUCCAAACCACAGAAUAAGGCUA